RNAcentral lists this unclassified non-coding RNA (219 nucleotides) under uncultured Tomentella. Its description in RNAcentral is "sequence contains ITS2". The record is from RNAcentral. Lineage: Eukaryota; Fungi; Basidiomycota; Agaricomycetes; Thelephorales; Thelephoraceae.
ACACCUCAACUCUCAUGGCUUGCCAUGAUGAGCUUGGACUAUGGGGGUCUUGCUGGCCUGUGGUCAGCUCCUCUCAAAUGAAUCAGCUUGCCAGUGUUUGGUGGCGAUCACAGGUGUGAUAACUAUCUACGCUUGUGGUUUUCCACCAGGUAACCUUCAGCGAUGGAGGUUCGCUGGGGCUCAUAAACGUCUCUCCUCAGUGAAGACAGCUCUUUGAAC